This 427-nucleotide ribosomal RNA is filed under the name uncultured bacterium. RNAcentral's name for it is "partial 16S ribosomal RNA". It matches the Rfam family "Bacterial small subunit ribosomal RNA", at positions 355 to 774 of the family's 1533-position model. The record is from RNAcentral.
UGGGGAAUAUUGGACAAUGGGCGAAAGCCUGAUCCAGCCAUGCCGCGUGUGUGAAGAAGGUCUUCGGAUUAUAAAGCACUUUAAGUUGGGAGGAAGGGCAUUAACCUAAUACGUUAGUGUUUUGACGUUACCGACAGAAUAAGCACCGGCUAACUCUGUGCCAGCAGCCGCGGUAAUACAGAGGGUGAAAGCGUUAAUCGGAAUUACUGGGCGUAAAGCGCGCGUAGGUGGUUUGUUAAGUUGGAUGUGAAAUCCCCGGGCUCAACCUGGGAACUGCAUUCAAAACUGACUGACUAGAGUAUGGUAGAGGGUGGUGGAAUUUCCUGUGUAGCGGUGAAAUGCGUAGAUAUAGGAAGGAACACCAGUGGCGAAGGCGACCACCUGGACUAAUACUGACACUGAGGUGCGAAAGCGUGGGGAGCAAACA